AGUGAACGCUGGCGGUAGGCCUAACACAUGCAAGUCGAACGGCAGCACAGUAAGAGCUUGCUCUUACGGGUGGCGAGUGGCGGACGGGUGAGGAAUACAUCGGAAUCUACUUUUUCGUGGGGGAUAACGUAGGGAAACUUACGCUAAUACCGCAUACGACCUACGGGUGAAAGCAGGGGAUCUUCGGACCUUGCGCGAUUGAAUGAGCCGAUGUCGGAUUAGCUAGUUGGCGGGGUAAAGGCCCACCAAGGCGACGAUCCGUAGCUGGUCUGAGAGGAUGAUCAGCCACACUGGAACUGAGACACGGUCCAGACUCCUACGGGAGGCAGCAGUGGGGGAUAUUGGACAAAGGGCGCAAGCCUGAUCCAGCCAUACCGCGUGGGUGAAGAAGGCCUUCGGGUUGUAAAGCCCUUUUGUUGGGAAAGAAAAGCAGCAGGUUAAUACCCCGCUGUUCUGACGGUACCCAAAGAAUAAGCACCGGCUAACUUCGUG
This 492-nucleotide ribosomal RNA is filed under the name uncultured bacterium. RNAcentral's name for it is "partial 16S ribosomal RNA". It matches the Rfam family "Bacterial small subunit ribosomal RNA", at positions 29 to 507 of the family's 1533-position model. The record is from RNAcentral.